RNAcentral lists this ribosomal RNA (199 nucleotides) under uncultured bacterium. RNAcentral describes it as "partial 16S ribosomal RNA". It matches the Rfam family "Bacterial small subunit ribosomal RNA", at positions 326 to 539 of the family's 1533-position model. The record is from RNAcentral.
ACGCUCGACACCUACGGUAGGCAGCAGUGGGGAAUAUUGCACAAUGGGGGAAACCCUGAUGCAGCAACGCCGCGUGAAGGAAGACGGUUUUCGGAUUGUAAACUUCUGUUCUUAGUGAAGAUAGUGACGGUAGCUAAGGAGCAAGCCACGGCUAACUACGUGCCUAGCAGCCGCGGUAAUCUGAGCGGGCUGGCAAGGC